UCCCGGGUGGUUCAGUGGCUAAGACUCUGAGCUCCCAACGCAGGGGGCCUAGGUUUGAUCCCUGGUUAGGGAA
Molecule: transfer RNA, 73 nt
Filed under: Bos taurus (domestic cattle)
Lineage: Eukaryota; Metazoa; Chordata; Mammalia; Artiodactyla; Bovidae
Also listed under: 1 other name
Rfam family: tRNA
About the family: Transfer RNA (tRNA) molecules are approximately 80 nucleotides in length. Their secondary structure includes four short double-helical elements and three loops (D, anti-codon, and T loops).
Source: Rfam by way of RNAcentral